Molecule: ribosomal RNA, 548 nt
Filed under: uncultured bacterium
Lineage: Bacteria
Description: bacterial SSU rRNA
Rfam family: Bacterial small subunit ribosomal RNA
Source: RNAcentral
UGGGGAAUUUUGGACAAUGGGCGCAAGCCUGAUCCAGCAAUGCCGCGUGCAGGAUGAAGGCCUUCGGGUUGUAAACUGCUUUUGUACGGAACGAAACGGUCCCUUCUAAUACAGGGGGCUAAUGACGGUACCGUAAGAAUAAGCACCGGCUAACUACGUGCCAGCAGCCGCGGUAAUACGUAGGGUGCGAGCGUUAAACGGAAUUACUGGGCGUAAAGCGUGCGCAGGCGGUUAUGUAAGACAGAUGUGAAAUCCCCGGGCUCAACCUGGGACCUGCAUUUGUGACUGCAUAGCUAGAGUACGGUAGAGGGGGAUGGAAUUCCGCGUGUAGCAGUGAAAUGCGUAGAUAUGCGGAGGAACACCGAUGGCGAAGGCAAUCCCCUGGACCUGUACUGACGCUCAUGCACGAAAGCGUGGGGAGCAAACAGGAUUAGAUACCCUGGUAGUCCACGCCCUAAACGAUGUCAACUGGUUGUUGGGUCUUCACUGACUCAGUAACGAAGCUAACGCGUGAAGUUGACCGCCUGGGGAGUACGGCCGCAAGGUUG